Molecule: ribosomal RNA, 301 nt
Filed under: uncultured bacterium
Lineage: Bacteria
Description: partial 16S ribosomal RNA
Rfam family: Bacterial small subunit ribosomal RNA
Source: RNAcentral
CAGUCGCCGCGGUAAUACGAAGGUCCCAAGCGUUGUUCGGAAUCACUGGGCGUAAAGGGAGCGUAGGCGGCGUGGUAAGUCAGAUGUGAAAUCCCGGGGCUCAACCCCGGAACCGCAUCCGAUACUGCCAUGCUUGAGGGUUGGAGAGGUGACUGGAAUUCUCGGUGUAGCAGUGAAAUGCGUGGAUAUCGAGAGGAACACUCGUGGCGAAGGCGAGUCACUGGACAACAUCUGACGCUGAGGCUCGAAGGCUAGGGUAGCGAAAGGGAUUAGAUACCCCCGUAGUCCCUGUCUCUUAUAC